UUAAGGGGUGGGGUUUAGGAUUUAGGGUUUAGGGUUUAGAGUUUAGGGUUUAGGGUUUAGAGUUUAGGUUUUAGGGUUUAGAGUUGGGAAGUGGGGUUUUGGGAUAAGAUUUCAAAUUUUGAAAAAUAAAAAAAAAUUUAAAUUUUUCAAAAGAUAAAAUGCUAUUUUGGUCAUUUUAGUUUUUGAAGGCUAUUUUUGUGACAUAAACUUAA
This 212-nucleotide long non-coding RNA is filed under the name Brassica napus (rape). RNAcentral describes it as "long non-coding RNA (BNAP_LNC022764)". The record is from RNAcentral. Lineage: Eukaryota; Viridiplantae; Streptophyta; Magnoliopsida; Brassicales; Brassicaceae.